Ipomoea triloba (trilobed morning glory) is the source of this 991-nucleotide long non-coding RNA. RefSeq lists it as uncharacterized. Lineage: Eukaryota; Viridiplantae; Streptophyta; Magnoliopsida; Solanales; Convolvulaceae. The transcript has 4 exons. The record is from RefSeq and is a predicted model, not a curated record.
AAGUAUUUUUAAUAACUUAUAUUCAAAUUUGUAUCGGUUUACCGGAAAAGACCAGCAAUCGGGUCGGGAUCCAUUUCGCAAAGUAGGCGAAUUGAAAGAUGGCAUGGAUGAGCGGGGAGGCGCUGGUGUCGAAGCUGGCCAUGCUGGCUAAGUACGCGGUGUUGCCGGGAGUUAUGGCCGCCGCUGUGAUCUACUCUCCUCCCGAUUUUCUUAUUCCAAAACCUAAACCUAAACCUAAACCAUCAUCCUCUUCUUCUUCUUCUUCUUAGGGCAGGGAUGCGACUUUCAAGAUUGCUGUUUCCCAACAGGAAAUCAUGGGAAAGAAAUCGAGGACAGUAUGAUGUGAUGCAGGAGGAAGAACAAAGUGCAUCAUAAUAAAACUAGGCAAAUUCCCCACAAAUAACUUUAAAAGGAAACAUGAACAGGUUUUUUGUUUUUCUCUCUAUAUUACCAUCCAGUACUAUGAUGUGUGAUGUGACAAUUGAGUUUUGUUUCAUGUGAUUGGAAUUAUCAUCAGGAUCACAUAUUCAUCUAUAUCCUGAAAAUACUGAUAUCCACCCUGAACUAUCCUCUUAUAUUCAACAAAGUGAUUUGAACUCAUUAUCAAAGAUUCUUUCUCACUCUCAAAUUUCUUGCUCAGAUUCUCUGUUCAGAUCCUACAACUGGAGCCACAUAGUUGAUUGGGGUGGCACAGUGAUGCAGAGAGGGUCGGGUCCCCAAAUCCCAUUGUCAAUCAUCAAUAGAUUUUCUUGACGACGACAUCAAGCUAUACAUAUACAGCUUCCAUCUUAUCAUAGUCGUCACAUCACACCGAAAAUCCCACCACCCUCACCCUGUGUGAGUAAAAUCCUCCCUUCAAAUCUCUGUUUCAAGUUUUGCAAGCACUGUACUGUUUCUAGACUGGAAGGAAAUAUGGAAUCUAAAUUUAGGAUAAUGUAAUGCUUCCUAGCUAGCUACAACCAGAUGAAUCUCUAAUAAAUAUAUGUUUCUA